Molecule: ribosomal RNA, 253 nt
Filed under: uncultured bacterium
Lineage: Bacteria
Description: partial 16S ribosomal RNA
Rfam family: Bacterial small subunit ribosomal RNA
Source: RNAcentral
UACGUAGGGUGCGAGCGUUGUCCGGAAUUACUGGGCGUAAAGAGCUCGUAGGUGGUUUGUCGCGUUAUUCGUGAAAACUCACAACUCAAUUGUGGGCGUGCGGGCGAUACGGGCAGACUAGAGUACUGCAGGGGAGACUGGAAUUCCUGGUGUAGCGGUGAAAUGCGCAGAUAUCAGGAGGAACACCGGUGGCGAAGGCGGGUCUCUGGGCCGAUACUGACGCUGAGGAGCGAAAGCGUGGGGAGCGAACAGG